UGGGGAAUCUUGCACAAUGGGGGCAACCCUGAUGCAGCGACGCCGCGUGAGCGAUGAAGCCCUUCGGGGCGUAAAGCUCUUUCGACCGGAACGAUAAUGACGGUACCGGGAGAAGAAGCUGCGGCUAACUACGUGCCAGCAGCCGCGGUAAUAAGUAGGCAGCAAGCGUUGUCCGGAGUUACUGGGCGUAAAGAGUGCGUAGGCGGUUUUCCAAGUUCGGUGUGAAAUCUCCCGGCUUAACUGGGAGGGUGCGCCGAAGCCUGGGAUGCUGGAGUGUGGGAAAGGCAGGCGGGGUUCCUGGUGUAGCGGUGAAAUGCGUAGAUAUCAGGAGGAACACCGGCGGUGUAGACGGCUUGCUAGACCAUAACUGACGCUGAGGCACUAAAGCGUGGG
This 393-nucleotide ribosomal RNA is filed under the name uncultured bacterium. Its description in RNAcentral is "bacterial SSU rRNA". It matches the Rfam family "Bacterial small subunit ribosomal RNA", at positions 355 to 765 of the family's 1533-position model. The record is from RNAcentral.